Danio rerio (zebrafish) is the source of this 3776-nucleotide non-coding RNA. NCBI's taxonomy places the organism in Eukaryota, Metazoa, Chordata, Actinopteri, Cypriniformes, Danionidae. The record is from RefSeq and is a predicted model, not a curated record.
AGAGGGAGGUAGGGAGGGAUGGAGUAAGGUUGAGAAGGAAAAACAACAGGAGAGAGAACAGACAGCCAGAGCAUCAUAGAGACAGACAGAGGUAGAGCAGGGGCAGGAAAAGCUACACUCUAUCUGGCAACCAUGACAACCGAGGAAAACGGAUAACAAGCCCCUGUACCCUAACACCACCAGCAAGCUGUCUGUGAACCUUGAUGGCCACAGAGACAUUGAAAACCUGGAAUUAUGUAAAUAAUCUUGCUCUCCUUUUCAAGAUCGAUUAGUUCUUUUUUUUCGCCUUUUUACCUGGUGAGAUGUGGGGUUGAAUUCAGCUCUUCCGUCAGGGUGGGCUGAACCCAGAUCAAAAUGAACAGCUGGGAACCGCACACCAGAGCCUUUUUUACUGUGACCCAUCAAUGGAAUCCCUGAGGUGGACAUAAUACUGCUCAAUGGUUCUCCUCUGGAGCAAACAAGCAGGCAUGCUGCCAGCAGACUUGAAGAUAUUUUCAUGAAAUGAGAUAGAAGAAAGGAAGUAUGUAAGCCAGUUAACACCAGCAUUCUCUGGACUUGUGCCGUCUCAUUCAAAGUCCACAUGAACCUCAUGGCGCAGCUGUACUACAACAAGGCCAGUAACUCUCCAUACCUGGACCGUAUCCCUCUGCAGAUCGUGAGGGCAGAAGUUGAGCUGUCUGCCAAGGAACGAGCAUAUCUGACGGCAGUGGAGAAGGGUGAUUAUGCCGGAGUUAAACAGGCCCUUGAGGAGGCAGAUAUAUAUUACAACAUUAAUGUGAACUGCCUAGACCCGUUAGGCCGCAGUGCGCUCCUCAUUGCUAUCGAGAAUGAGAACCUGGAGGUGAUGGAGCUGCUAUUGAGUCAUGGCGUGCAUACUGGUGAUGCGCUCCUCUAUGCUAUCCGCAAGGAAGUGGUGGGAGCUGUUGAGUUACUGCUAUCCUACAGGAAGCCCUGUGGCGAGAAACAAGUUCCCUCUCUCAUGAUGGACACACAGUUUUCUGAGUUCACGCCCGAUAUCACACCUAUCAUGUUGGCUGCCCACACUAAUAACUAUGAGAUAAUCAAGCUCUUAGUUCAACGAAAAGUUACUAUCCCUCGGCCACAUCAAAUCCGCUGUGACUGUGUGGAAUGUGUAUCCAGCUCUGAGGUGGACAGCCUGAGGCACUCCCGUUCACGCCUAAACAUCUACAAAGCUCUUGCCAGCCCCUCUCUCAUAGCUCUGUCAAGUGAAGAUCCCAUCCUUACAGCGUUUAGGCUGGGCUGGGAGCUAAAAGAGCUCAGUAAGGUGGAGAAUGAAUUCCGACAGGAGUAUGACGAGCUUUCACAGCAGUGUAAGCUUUUUGCUAAAGACCUUCUUGAUCAGGCGCGUAGUUCCCGUGAGCUGGAGACGAUCCUUAACCAUCGGGAUGACCACAGUGAGGAACUGGACCUCGGUGAGUGCAGAGACCUGGCCAAACUUAAACUAGCCAUCAAGUACCACCAGAAAGAGUUUGUUGCUCAGCCCAACUGCCAACAACUCCUGGCAACACUGUGGUAUGAUGGUUUCCCGGGCUGGAGGCGACGUCAUUGGGCAGUGAAGCUUGUCACAUGCUUCAUCAUUGGUCUGCUCUUCCCUGUAUUCUCCAUCAUAUACCUUCUGGCUCCAAAGAGCACACUGGGAACCUUUAUUAAGAAACCAUUCAUCAAGUUCAUCUGCCACACAGCCUCCUAUCUGACCUUCCUCUUCCUCCUCCUCCUCGCUUCACAGCAUAUUGUUCAGACUGAUCUGCAUGUACAGGGACCUCCACCAACAUUUGUUGAGUGGAUGAUCUUACCUUGGGUUCUAGGUAAGUCUUUUUGGUAUACAUUGAGUUCAAAAACAGGAUAGAUAGGUGGAUGGAUUGAUGGAUGGAUGGAUGGAUGGAUGGAUGAUUGGUAGCCACUACUGUAAAUGUGUUGUAGAAAAAAGGUUUUUACAGUACUGAAUUAUUUCAUUUGUAUCCAUUAGUACAACAGCUCUCGUCCUCGUGUGGAGUGGGAAAUGUGGCACCCAACACUCAUCGCUGAGGCUCUAUUUGCUAUUGCCAACAUCUUCAGCUCCCUGCGUCUCAUCUCUUUGUUCACUGCCAACUCUCACUUGGGCCCACUGCAAAUCUCUCUCGGUCGCAUGUUGCUGGACAUUCUCAAGUUCCUUUUCAUCUACUGUUUGGUGCUUCUGGCCUUUGCCAAUGGCCUCAACCAACUCUAUUUCUACUAUGAGACAAAGGCAUCUGAAGAGCCCAACAACUGCAAAGGGAUUCGUUGUGAAAAGCAGAAUAACGCCUUUUCCACGCUCUUCGAAACUCUUCAGUCUCUCUUCUGGUCUGUGUUCGGGCUGUUGAAUCUGUAUGUUACCAAUGUGAAGGCUCGUCACGAAUUCACAGAGUUUGUAGGAGCCACCAUGUUUGGCACUUACAACGUCAUCUCUCUGGUGGUACUAUUGAACAUGCUCAUUGCUAUGAUGAACAACUCCUACCAGCUUAUCGCUGAUCAUGCAGACAUCGAGUGGAAAUUUGCUCGUACUAAGCUCUGGAUGAGCUACUUUGAUGAGGGAGGGACAUUACCACCACCCUUUAACAUCAUACCAAGCCCAAAGUCUGUGUGGUACCUGUGUGUGUGGCUGCACUGCCGACUGUGUGGACAUGGAGAGCCUAGGCACGAGGACAAGUGUAAACACAAAAACCUUAAAGAGUUUACGGAAAGGCAUGCUGAUAACCUCAUUCAGAAUCAGCAUUACCAGGAGGUGAUCAGAAACUUGGUAAAGCGAUAUGUUGCAGCCAUGAUCCGCAGUGCCAAAACAGAUGAAGGCCUAACAGAAGAAAACUUCAAGGAACUGAAGCAGGACAUCUCUAGUUUCCGCUAUGAGGUUCUUGACCUGCUGGGCAAUCGUAAACCACCACGCCGCACAUAUUCUUCCAGCAGCGAGGCCACUCAGCAGGAUGAGACAGCUGAGCCAGAGGAAGUAGAUGAGGAAAGAAACCACAGGCUUGGAGGACAUACAUGUGUAGAUGAAGGAGAACGAUCCAGAUACAAAGCAUCUACAUCCUUCUCCCAGUGUUACAGGAGAAACCGAGAGUCCCAGUUCAGUAUAUCAGCUCUCUUCAAGUCUAUAUCAGGACCAGCAAGAGAAAAACCUGAAAGCAAUGGCUUGAGGAAGAACAUAUCCCAUCCCUCUCCAUUUGUACGGACCAACAGCCGCCUACAGCACUUUUCACACUCCAAGAAAAACUCUUUGCAACGUUUGGGAAUGCUGAUGUUGCGUAUGAAUGGACAUGUCCCAGAUACGCACGCAGAAACCUUAGAAGUUCAGCAGUCUGCAUAUAGCAUCUCAGACAGGGUACCGCAAACAUCUUGGCACAACCCCCAAAAUCUUUCAAAGGUUACGAGGAGCGAGACACACUUGCACACUCUGGGAUUGGGAGCACUUGAGACUGAAGAGAAUCCAAUGCAUGCCAUCUCUAAUCGAGCAAACGGAAGUGACAAUCUCUUCCACCAGCGACCCGGCCACUCGCUGCCCCCAUUGCACUGCGCUUCCAGUCUGACCACCUCCAGUGUCCAGCUUUUGGCAUCCAGUGAUUACAUAUGCCACAGCUGGUUGGGACCAUGUGACAGUUUGGGCUCCUCAAGCUGGGAACCGGAUGAAACGGUUACAACACAGCUGUAGAGGUGGUAGCAAUGUCAAGCUUAAUAUUACUGUCUCAGCUUAAAUCUUUAGUUCAACCAAAAAUAAAAAUAAAAAUCUGUUAUUAAUUACUUAA